Long non-coding RNA from Vicugna pacos (alpaca), 753 nucleotides. RefSeq lists it as uncharacterized. The record is from RefSeq and is a predicted model, not a curated record. NCBI's taxonomy places the organism in Eukaryota, Metazoa, Chordata, Mammalia, Artiodactyla, Camelidae.
CGGCCUGAGCUUUUCGCGAGUCGCCUCAGGGAGCGCUCGUCUCGUGAAGAAACUCGGGGUGAAGGCGCAGGCUCAGAAGCAGGAGCGAGAGCGACUUGACUCCUGGAAGGAGACUCCAGAGUAGCAGCAGCUGGAGGACGCCAGAGUCCCGGCCGCUGUGAGCUGUCGGCUGCCUUCCCCGAGGGCUUCGGCCAGGCUUCCUCAGGCCCGGCGGACCCGGUCCUGCCGCUGACUCAGUCGCGCUGUUGCCAGGAUAUGCUGAAGUCUGAAAAUUGCUCGGCAGGACCAGACAUAGCACAGGCCCCUUCUCUCAGUUUAACUUGUCAGUGACCACUAUCUUGAUAACUGAAAUCAGUGCUCCUGGUUCUUGGGCAUUUGGACUCAAACUGGGACUUACACCAUCACCACCUGAUUUUUCUGGUUCUCCAGCUUGCAGAUGGCAGAUCAUAGGAAUUCUCAGCUUCUAUAGCCAAGUGAGUCAAUUUCUAUAAUUAAUCUCUGCUAUGCCUAUUUAUAUAUCUACAUAUAUCGUAUAGGUUCUGUUUCUCUGGAGAAUUUUGACUAAUACAAUGAUGGAUAUGUUUGAAGUAGUAAUGUUUGAGAAGUGGUUGGUGGCAUUGAAAACCCACAUUAUGAAUAUCUAGUCUAAACUGACCUCUUGAGAAGGAAUUCCUGGGGUUCCUGUGGCGGUUGGAUGUAUUCAAGGGGAUUGUCUCUCUGCCUCCGAUUAGAAACCUCUUCUUUGACCCCAGA